Molecule: ribosomal RNA, 497 nt
Filed under: uncultured bacterium
Lineage: Bacteria
Description: partial 16S ribosomal RNA
Rfam family: Bacterial small subunit ribosomal RNA
Source: RNAcentral
GAUGGACGCUGGCGGCGUGCCUAAUACAUGCAAGUCGAGCGAACAGACGAGGAGCUUGCUCCUCUGACGUUAGCGGCGGACGGGUGAGUAACACGUGGAUAACCUACCUAUAAGACUGGGAUAACUUCGGGAAACCGGAGCUAAUACCGGAUAACAUGUUGAACCGCAUGGUUCAACAGUGAAAGACGGUCUUGCUGUCGCUUAUAGAUGGAUCCGCGCCGCAUUAGCUAGUUGGUAAGGUAACGGCUUACCAAGGCAACGAUGCGUAGCCGACCUGAGAGGGUGAUCGGCCACACUGGAACUGAGACACGGUCCAGACUCCUACGGGAGGCAGCAGUAGGGAAUCUUCCGCAAUGGGCGAAAGCCUGACGGAGCAACGCCGCGUGAGUGAAGAAGGUCUUCGGAUCGUAAAACUCUGUUAUUAGGGAAGAACAAAUGUGUAAGUAACUAUGCACGUCUUGACGGUACCUAAUCAGAAAGCCACGGCUAACUACGUG